This 84-nucleotide transfer RNA is filed under the name Clostridium sp. RNAcentral's name for it is "tRNA-Leu". It matches the Rfam family "tRNA". Rfam says of the family: Transfer RNA (tRNA) molecules are approximately 80 nucleotides in length. Their secondary structure includes four short double-helical elements and three loops (D, anti-codon, and T loops). The record is from RNAcentral. Lineage: Bacteria; Bacillati; Bacillota; Clostridia; Eubacteriales; Clostridiaceae. RNAcentral also lists the same sequence under 3 other names.
GCCGGUAUGGUGGAAUUGGUAGACAGAAAUGACUUAAAAUCAUUUGAUCGUAAGGUCGUGCGAGUUCAAGUCUCGCUGCCGGUA